Molecule: ribosomal RNA, 497 nt
Filed under: uncultured bacterium
Lineage: Bacteria
Description: partial 16S ribosomal RNA
Rfam family: Bacterial small subunit ribosomal RNA
Source: RNAcentral
GAUGAACGCUGGCGGCGUGCCUAAUACAUGCAAGUCGAGCGAACAGACGAGGAGCUUGCUCCUCUGACGUUAGCGGCGGACGGGUGAGUAACACGUGGAUAACCUACCUAUAAGACUGGGAUAACUUCGGGAAACCGGAGCUAAUACCGGAUAAUAUAUUGAACCGCAUGGUUCAAUAGUGAAAGACGGUUUUGCUGUCACUUAUAGAUGGAUCCGCGCCGCAUUAGCUAGUUGGUAAGGUAACGGCUUACCAAGGCAACGAUGCGUAGCCGACCUGAGAGGGUGAGCGGCAACAUGGGAAGGUAGCCGGCGUCAAGACUCCUAGGGGAGGAGCCAGGGGGGAAUCGCCCGCAAUGGGGGAAAGCCUGACGGAGCAGCGCCGAGUGGGGGAUGAAGUUCUCGGGAUCGUAAACCUUUUUUAUGGGGAAAAAAAAAAUGUGAAAGAAAAUAUGCCCGUUUUGAGGGUACAUAAUCAAAAAGCAAGGGCUAACUACGUG